CAAUUUUCAAAAUUUCAAAUUUGCCAUCUACUUUAACCCAACAACAAAGACAUUUUAGUAAUUAGGACCACUCCUACUCCAAUUCUGAAAUCUAAUUCCUCUCAAUCCAUAUGGUUUAGUAAACAAAGGGACCAUGCAACUUAGGGUGGAGAAUAAAAAGGUUGAGGAGAGGAAGCAUGGGGAUUGCAUGUAUCCUUGCCAGCCACUUUCUCUUCUGGAAACACUGCAAGCAUGAAAUGAACUGAACCCAAGGAAAUUUUUUUAAUUUUUAAGUAACUAUAAUUUUCUGUUACCCAAUUUAAUUAUGUAAAUUACAAUUCAACUAUGAUCUGUUUUUUAAUUCUUGCAUUCAAUCUGUUUCCGGAGUUCAUAUUUUGUGCAUAUUCUUCAUCUAACAUGUAAAUUUCUCGAUCAUACGGUCGUACCAGAGAGUGCAUACCCUGCUGUAAAGAAAGACAUAACAGGAGGGGGUUCAACUGAGAGAGGUAUGUGGCUGAUGUUCUUGUUACUUUGGAUCAAUUUUGGCUAUAAUUUAUGACAUGUAUAAAUCACCAUCUUCUUCAUGAUGCUUUUUCAGAUGCAUUGUAUGCACAAAUUGAAACAGGGAAACGGUUGGCCCUAAUUAAAGCAUGGGAGGAAAGUGAGAAAACAAAAGCAGAGAACAAGUAUGAGGGAGGCUAUUGUGCUUUUUAUAAGCUUAAACAUGAAAAUUAUUGGAGUGUCUAUUGCUUUACAAUAAUCAUGAUCUUUCAUGCUUGAUUAAGGUAAUUAAAUUAAUCCAACAUUGUCAACCAUUGACAGGGCAUAUAGAAGAAUGUCAACAGUAGAAUUGUGGGAAGACAGCAAGAGAACUUCUGUGGAGGCAGAACUCAAAAAAAUUGAGGUAAGAAAACCCUGUUUUGCAGUAGAUUAUGAUCUUUAAUAAAAAUAAAAUGAAAAUGAAAAUUGGAACUUUGUCGUCGUCGUGAAAUAAUCUUGUGUUACACCCUUUUGGACAGGAAUUCUUUUUUUGUCAUACCAUUUAUCUGACAAUGUAUUUUGUACCAACUUAACAUGUACAUUGCUUGAAAUUAACACUAAUUCAUAUAAUCUAACUAAAACCCUUUUUUGAUAUUUGACCAAAAUGUGUUUCGAUCGACUAAUCUGUGGGGACUAAUGACAGGAAAAUUUUGAGAGCAAUGCCCCAGGGUGGAGGAGACAGCUGCAAAGUUUUGUUCUCCCGGAAUUACACUAAAGAAAUUGCUACUUGGGUGCUUCAUCAGCCAGCAUUCUGCAAUUAUGUAAUUAACCAUAAAAAAUAAGGGAGAGGCUUGUUUUCCACUUUGGUUUGAGCUUUUUAUUUCUAAUGCAACAUUUAUAAAAAUAAAAUAAAAAACAAAGCAAAC
RNAcentral lists this long non-coding RNA (1385 nucleotides) under Prunus dulcis (almond). RNAcentral's name for it is "sRNA ncRNA". The record is from RNAcentral. Lineage: Eukaryota; Viridiplantae; Streptophyta; Magnoliopsida; Rosales; Rosaceae.